This is a non-coding RNA of Canis lupus familiaris (dog), 46 nucleotides long. The record is from Rfam. NCBI's taxonomy places the organism in Eukaryota, Metazoa, Chordata, Mammalia, Carnivora, Canidae.
CUAAAGGCUUUUCUCAAGGCCACUGCUUUCAUAAAACAAACAAAGG